GGGCUCCUGGCUGCAAUCUGCAUCUGCCAAAGCAUGCUCAGAGCAUUUUGGUAAGCUAGCAGGAUUGCAGCCAAUAUUGCUGCUAUUCCCAGUUAAAUGUACCUUUAAGGUAUCACACAGGAAACUACUCAUUCUUUCUCCUGUUAAUUUGGCAGGUGCCAAGGGUCUCCACUUCAGCCCACUGAAGUGGUCAGAGUUUGCAGGAUAUGGCUUUGGACCAAUGCGGGAGAAGCAGCUGGCCCACUGCUGCCUCACUAUUGACCCACGUGCACAGCCUGGCUAAGAAUGGUUUCAAUACACAGUCAGCCAUCAAUCUGCUCUGUGACAUCAGGCAAGCAGACCAAACGGAGCUGAAGGGACCAGUCUGAGAUCACCCAGCUGGUCAAGGAAGGGUAUGAAGCAGUCAUUACCCUCCAGUCCCCCCUCAUCCUCCCAGCAGAGCCCUGCUCCUGUAAAAGAAGCAGUCAGGGAUGAAUCAAACCCAGCAAACUCCUCCCAGAGAAGCAUUAUGAGAACUGCCUAAGUGAGGAGCAGCCAAAACCUUUUGGGAAAGGGGCACUGGGGAGUCCCAUCACCCUCCAUCCCCAUAAGAUGUGCUCCAUCAUUUGCAAUGGGCUCAUACAGGGAAGUCACAGGAAGGUGGCCUGUCCAUGAGAAUGGUGUGUUGCUGCUCCAACCAGCUCUCCAUUCAUUUGGAACACAAUGGGAGAAGCAAGAAGGAGCCGGGCUGCCUUUCAGGCUUCACCAGGAAUCAUGGAGAGAGACAGACUCGAUGCUCUGCAUGGCACCGGGAAGGAGCCACCUCUGGAUGCAAUGCUCAGCGCACACAGAAGCCUGGCCACAAACACGACCAGUCAUUCGGAGUACCGAAACAAUUCAGCUUCAGCACUGCAAGAGGAAGCCCCAGCCAUUUGCACAAGGAAGCAAUCCAAGCAGCAGGUUCAAAUCUUUGCUUGAGCUGGAUGUGAUGUUUUCACAGCCAUGCAGGGUGCUGCAAUCACACCCUGUGGCCCCAUAUGCACAACACAAAGACAGAUUACCGUGCAGACUGCUGGGGAAAGGCAAAUAUUAGAGACCUUAGGGAAAGGAAGAGUAGCCUGGUUACUCCUACCGUGACAAAACAGCUCUCCGUUGGUGUUCCCUCAUCUCUCUAACUCAAACAUUCCAGCAGAAGUUAAUGGAUAUGGCUCAUUUAUAUGCCCAUCUUCACAAACAGCAUUACCAAGUUGUAAAACCGUAUCCAUACUGAUCACCUAACCAAGUUGGGGGGGGGUCAUUGGUGCCAGCAGGAGGCAGACUGAGGGCAGAGGGUGCUUUAGAGGAGCUUCAGAAACCUGAGAGGCCUGACAUCCCUGUUUCCAAGUAGUUGCCAACUCUUUUUCAAUACAAAGGAGAAACUGGCAGAUUAGAACAAGAAAAUAAAUGACCUCAUUGGUGUUAGAUCUGUGUGGUU
This 1453-nucleotide long non-coding RNA is filed under the name Numida meleagris (helmeted guineafowl). Its description in RNAcentral is "lncRNA (ENSNMEG00000005729.1)". Lineage: Eukaryota; Metazoa; Chordata; Aves; Galliformes; Numididae. The record is from RNAcentral.